RNAcentral lists this ribosomal RNA (524 nucleotides) under uncultured bacterium. RNAcentral describes it as "partial 16S ribosomal RNA". It matches the Rfam family "Bacterial small subunit ribosomal RNA", at positions 30 to 523 of the family's 1533-position model. The record is from RNAcentral.
AUUGAACGCUGGCGGCGUGCCUAAUACAUGCAAGUCGAGCGCAGGAAACUGACGGAACUCUUCGGAGGGAAGGCAGUGGAAUGAGCGGCGGACGGGUGAGUAACACGUAAGGAACCUGCCUCAAGGAUUGGGAUAACUCCGAGAAAUCGGAGCUAAUACCGGAUAGUUCAUCGGACCGCAUGGUCCGUUGAUGAAAGGCGCUCCGGCGUCACCUUGAGAUGGCCUUGCGGUGCAUUAGCUAGUUGGUGGGGUAACGGCCCACCAAGGCGACGAUGCAUAGCCGACCUGAGAGGGUGAUCGGCCACACUGGGACUGAGAAACGGCCCAGACUCCUACGGGAGGCAGCAGUAGGGAAUCUUCCACAAUGGACGAAAGUCUGAUGGAGCAACGCCGCGUGAGUGAUGAAGGUUUUCGGAUCGUGAAACUCUGUUGUAAGGGAAGAACACGUACGAGAGGGAAUGCUCGUACCUUGACGGUACCUUACGAGAAAGCCACGGCUAACUACGUGCCAGCCGCCGCCGUAA